GGCUGGAACUCUGCAAUCCUCCUGCCUCAGCCUCCCAGUGCUGGGGCUCCAGGCAUGUGCCACCACACCCAGCUUGGUCCAAGGUUUAAGGUCAACCAGUUUAGGGACCAGAUCAUACCUGGUACUGGCACACCAUAGACAUUCACUUCCUGCAGGAAGUCCACAAGUGACAGCACGCCCUCCACCUCCCGUGUGGACACGCUCGCCUUCCAUCUGCAGGGUUGGAGUCAGGGCUCGAACCCCACCCUCACAAGAGGGUCCAGAUGCCCAUCACCUGCACCAGCCCAGCCUGUCCCCAUCCCUAACUCCACCACACCGAAGGUGUCCCCCGAGGCGGUCCUGGAAGUAGACAAAGCCUUCACGGUCCAUGGUCAGCACAUCCCCCGCGUGUUGUAGUAAAUGUCGCCUGACGCAGCACACCCUUCACCAGUUUCCGCUCAGACAGCUCUCUCGGGACCACGGUAGCCGAUGAAAGGAGAGUGACUGAGUACCUUGGUCAGCAGGAGCCCCGCCUCCCCCUGGAGAAGGAAGAGGAGCGCAGUGCAAAUGACAAACCAGAACCCUAGCAGCCAGCUACCCAGUGGUCAGUGGGCCAGUGCACCCUGAAGACAGCUGAAACACUGGGACAGAGAGAGCCUGAGAGACGGGCAGGGGGACACAGAGAAUCAGAGCAGGAAGGAAGGAGGUGGCAUUAGGUAGCACACGAGCAAGGGGAAAACAAUACCAAGGAAUGGACAAGGGAUAGAGACAAUGGUGCCAGGAAGAAAGGGCUGCCAGGGCUCUCCAAGGCUCCAGGAGAGAAGGGACUAAUGGCUAGGAAGAUGUGACCCCCACAGAAGCCAGGGAGAACUCAGAUGGACCAGAGCAAGAGAAUGAGGCAGGGAGUUGGCAGGGUGAGGCUGAGGGGCGGAGGCCCAGGUGGCAGUGAGCAGCACAGGGACUCAGAGUCCUGACGGGGACUUCCACCCCCAUGGGCUCUGGCUCCAGGCUUUCGGCAGUUUGUUCCAGCCAUGCAGGGGGGCCGAGGGUAUCCACCCCUCCUCCACCCAGAGAACGCUCCUCGGUCUCCAUACCCGGCCCCACAGGGAUGCACAAGCCCCGCUUGUCUCUCACGGGCUCUGCUGCCUCCAUGUCAAACUGCACAAGCUCAAGAGGAGACAGCACCUGGUGAAGGGCGGGGAGCACUAGCAGAGGACCUGUGGGCCCAGCCGCAGCCAGGGCCACCUGUCACCCUGGGCACCCCACCUACUCACCUGAAGGAGGCAGUUCGCCUUGCCCACGGCCCCACAGCGCCCUGCAUAGCUGACUAAGCCUACGCUGCCCUCUGUGGAGCCAUAGAAUUCCCAGAUCUGAAUGGGACCAAAGCGCUUCUGGAAGGUUUCCCACACAUCUCCCCGGAGUCCAUUGCCCAUUGCCAAGCGGACUCUGUGCAUCCGGUCUUCUGGUCGCUGCAAGAACAUCCCCAGAAGGAGAGGAGAAGGUGUCCUUGGGGAUGCUGAGGAACCCUCACCUGGGGGCUGUCUUGGGUCCUUACCUUGAGAGUGACCCCAGGAUGAUGGGGCUCUGUACCUAGGGGAUCUACCUGGGGUACUGAGGUACAGUUACUGGAGUCUUGGCCUGAGGGUUACCUGCAGAGGUUACCUAAGAGCUUUGCCUGGGGAAAGUUACCUGGGCCCUUACCUGAAGGAUUACCUAGGAGACGUGAUGCAUCAGGGAUCUUACCUGGAAAAGGUACCUGGGGUCUCACAUGGCAGAGUUACCUGGAAGCCUUACCUUAAAAAGCUACUGGGAGCCUUUACCUGAGGGCACAUGGGGAGUGACUUGAAGCCUCAGUUUAAGAAUUACUUUAGUGUCUUACUUAGGGCAAGUUACAUGGAGCCUUUUACCUGAGGUGUUACCUGGAGCCUUUGCCUGGAGGGAUACCUGGGGGACUUAUCUGGGAUCGUAUCUCAUUGGUCUGUAAGGAUGAGAUGGCUCACAACUUCUGAGUUCACCCUGAGCCACUCCCAGUUCUAGGCACUUUACAUAUAUUUAGUUCACUUAAUUUUCACCGAAAUGGGGGCCUUUAUUUGUACUGGGGUUUAAACCUAGGGCCUUCACACUGAGCUACAUCCCCAGGUCUUCUAUAUUUUAAGACAAAUUUUCACCAAGUUGCUAAUUUUCCCUGGACAGGCCCAGACCUGCAAUCCACCUACCUCAGUGUGCACUUCCAAGCCAGGCCAGAUAGGAUCUGCCCCUAUUGAAUGAACACACUGAGGCUGAGGAAAGUGGAGGCAUCUGCUGAGGAUGGAAGACCCCCUCAUCAAAGCAGCCCUUUAGGAGAACUUGCCUCGAACUUGUUUUCUGGGCUCUUGCCUGAUAAGCACAACCCAGUACCUGAGUCUUUAUCUGAGAGCUUUACCUGGGGUGUCAUUUGGGGUUUCAUGCCUGCUGUGUUUACCAUGGAUCCUGAAUCUCAGAGCCUCACCUGAGGAACAUUGCACAAGUACCGCAGGACCUCACCCACAUAUUGGAUCACUGUCACACCAUGCUGACGACAGUCAUCCCAGAAGCAGGAGGCAGAAAACUUGGGUGCCAGGACACAGGUAGCUCCUAGAAGGGAGAGGAUGAGUAGAUCUCAAGCCAUGCUUCCAAGUUGCUGUGAGAAGCUGCUUUGAUGACCUGAUUGCAGUCUCUGGGAAUGUAGGACAAGGCCAAGCUCAUCUCUAUGCCCCAGCCAGACUGGCCCCAUGAAAAGAGUCCACGGGGCCAGCCCUGUGGCACAUGCCUGUAGUUCCAGCACUUGGGAGACUGAGGCAGGAGGACUGCCAUGUGUUUGCGGUCAACCUGGGCUACAUAGCAAGUUCUAGGCUAGCAUGAACUGCCUAGUGAGACCCUGUCUCAAAAAAACUCAAAACAAAAACAAAAAAGAAAGAAGAGGAUGCCUGGGUUCAAAUACUUUUUCUAGAGGGUAUAGAAAUCCCAGUGCUGGCACAGGUGAGCAUGCUAGAUGCGAGGUGUGCAUUUGUUGCUCUGAAUUUGCUGAGUGCCCUGAAGGCAGACAGGUGGGUAGGAGGAUGGACGUGGUGGGUGGGUGGGAAGAUGCGUUGGCGGAUGGAUGAAUCGGGUGAUGGCAUGGGAUGCAGGGGAGAGAUAGCCAGUGAUGAGGUAGACAGGAGCCAGCCCUAGGAGAGCCUGGUGGAAGGACGAAGGGGAGUACAGAGUUGACGGAUGGACUCGUGGACAAGACCCCAGGGCCACGAUCAUCACCCCUGAGCAGCGGCUCUCCUCUGCAUCUGGCCAUCACCCUUGCACCCAAACUGCAACUGCUCAUGUGCUUCUGUAAGGUGACAAGUGUGUGUCUUAAAAUGGUAUUUCUGGAAAGGAGGCAGCAUAAUGCCCUCCACGAAAAUGAGCUGGGGUUGUCUUUGUUACCUUCUGGCCACCAUGCACUGUUUCUCCUCUGCCAGACCUGUCUGCCACACCACCCUGCCUUGGAGCCAGGCCGUUAUGGACUGAAACCUCUAUGAGCUACUGACUGAUGACAAGCCUGCCAUCUGAACAUCUAACAGAACAACAUUCAAGACAGGGGAAAACAGCCUACCACGAACAAGACAGUGAAUUAAUGACCAAGUUAAUAACUGAGACACCUGACCAGCCAAGCCCAUUUCUCAUUGGCCAUCUUCCGUGUAAACAAGGAAACCAUGGACAACUACAAAGAACUUUGUCUGGAUCUGCAGCUCUCUGGGCAGAAAGUGAAACAUCAGAAACUAAAGGAACAAGGAGAGAUUUUAGAAGCUAUGAUAAACCUUGGCAAUUAAAUGCAAAGAAGCCUAAAAAAAUCAAAAAGUGACCUUGCUGUGUCUAAUAUUUCUCCCCCAUCACUGGAUUCCAGAUCAUCAUUAGCAUCUUACUUAUCCUCUCAAACAUGUCUAACUGAUUUGGAUCAUUUCUAGCAUACUGUUCUUUGAAGACUAUGAACUACUUGGAGUGGCCCUUGCCUCUUGUGCCAAUUGCAGCAUUAUGCUACAUUCAAGACAAAACCAAACCCACAUUUACUGAAAUACAUAAAAGCAAAUUAAAUAUUUUAGAGCAGAAGAAGAGGGGAUUUCUGUUCCAAACAUUUAAUAAAAAAGAGGAGACGGAGGAUGGGAGGAGGGAGGAGAGUGGAAGGGGCAUAAAAAGCGUUAAGAUGUGUAAUGUGUAUGUACCAAGUCCCCAUGAUGAAUAUAAUCAUUAUAUAUUAUAAACAUGUACUAAUACAAAUAAAAAUGAAUUUAAAAAAGAAAAAUUAGCUGGGUGUAGUGGCACAUGCCUGUAGUCCCAGCUCUCAAGAGGCUGAAGCAGGAGGAUCACUGUAAGUUUGAGCCCAGCCUGGGCUACAUAGCGAGUUUGAGACCAGCCUGAACUACCUAGUAAGACCCUGUGUCAACCCCUCCCCCCCCAAAAAACCAAGGGCCAGGCAUGGCAGUGGAUGCUUGUAACCCCAGCACUUGGGGAGGCAGAGGCAGGAGGAUUGCCAAGAGUUCGGGCCAGUCUGGGUUCCAAAGUGAGACCCUGCCUCAAAAAAAUUUUUUUAAUGUGUUUUUUUUUCUGGUACUGGGGAUCGAACUCAGAACCUUACACUUGCCAGGCAGGCAUGGCGCCACUCAGCUACAUGCCUGCCCGCCCCCAAAAUUAAAAGGGCUGGGGAUGUGGCUCAGUGCAAAGAUCCUGGGUUCAAUGCUCAGUAAAAUGGGGACAAAAAAGGAACAAAUGAGCAGGCAUGGUAGCACACAGGUGUAAUUCUAGCACUGAGGGAAGCUGAAGCUCGAGGGUCACAAGUUUGAAUUCCACCUGGGUAACUUAGGAGGCCCUCUCUCAACAUUAAAAAUAUGAAGGGCUGGGGAUGUGGUCCCCUGGUAGUGGUCUCUGAAUUCAAAUCCUGCUACUGAAAAUACUUGCACACACACACACACACACACACACACACACACAAUUUUUUAGGAAGAAAAAACCAUAACAGGGCAGCCCUUGUCUGAGUUAUGAGUCAGGUGUCCAGAAGGACAGCCCGGUCAGCACUUGGUGACCAUUCCCUGACUGGCUUCUGGGGCCAGGUCACAAAGCAGGACCAUCAUGCCCAUCCCCUCUGGAGCACGACAGCCUCCCUGAUGCACACCGAUCUUCACACCAGGUCUUGUUACCGCCAGCCAAGGAACAGCCAUUAGAGAUUGUUUUAGGUAUUCAAGCCUUGGGCUGGGGGGAUGUUACUGUUACUGUUACUGUUACUGUUACUUCUCAAGAGUAACAGUACAGAAAGCUGGGAAACCUGUGGAGUCUUUGUCACCCCUGACUGGCCCCAACACCCCUUCUCGGACCCUGUGAGCUAAAGGGAUCCUCUGAAAAGGACUCACCAAGCUCCAGGCAGCCGAGGACCCCCAGGACAAGCCCCAUCACGUGAUAGAGAGGCAGGACGCUGUAGACCACAUCACCAGCCGUUGCCCCACACAAGGACAGCAUCUUGCUCACCUGCAGCACCCGUUCAUGUGUGAGGAUGGCUGGCUUUGGCAGCCCUGGGAGGAAGCAGUGGGGAAGGGGUCUCAAAGGGCAGCAGCCAGACCUUGUUGGGCUUGGCUCUCAGGACACUGGGUUUUGAGGCUGAAUUCCAACUGGGCGUGAGAGAUCAAGAGCAAAGGUUAGCAAGAGUGUCAGUGCUGUUUACCGGGCAUGGGAGCACCCACUCGACACUGGGGAUGGGAGUCAAGGCCAGAUGUGGAGGGUGGAGGGCAGGGCGAUGUCAGAGACCAGCAGAGGCUAGGCUGAGGCUGGGGGCCCCUCACCUGUGGUCCCCGAGGUGUAAAUGAACAGGGCAGGACUUCGACGCUUAAUCUCCCGCGUAGGUGAGCAGGCACUGGGUCAGAGGGCGCCAUGUCCAGGGCGGCCCCAGAGACCCCACACCAGGUGUGGCAGAGGUGUGGCUGAGGUAGAAGCAGUGGAUGUCCGCAGCCUGCAGCUUGGGAAGGACCUCCUCCAGGCUGUCCUGGAGGUCUGGAAGGUCAGGGGAGAGACUGAGGCAGAGCUCACCUUUGUGGUCAACAGGGGAGACCCAACACCCAGAGACACAGGAACAGCUAGCAGAAAAAAAGUUUCAUCAUUCUUGGGUAAAGGAUCCUCAUAAGUGGGCCAGGGAUUUAGCUCAGUGGCAACGUGCCUGCCUUGGAAGCUUAAAGGUCCAGAGUUUGAUCCCUGGUACCAGAGAAAGAAAAAAAGAAUCCCAUAAUUACUAAAGUUUUUGUCAAAAAGAAUUAAAAUCACUAUUUUGUGAAAAAAAUUAAAAAACAACGAUCCCCCCCGCCAUGGCUUCCCAGUUACACUGGUUUUUUUUUGUUUUUUGGGUUUUUUUGGUACCGGGAUCGAACUCGGGACCUUGUGCUUGUGAGGCAGGUGCCAGAACCACUGAGCUAAAUCCCCGGCCCCACACUGUUUCGAUUGUAACUGCCUGAGACUGAGACGCGGAGGAAAGGACCCCCCUGCCCAGCCCCAUCAGCAUUACCCCCUGCCCUCUUCCCUCCCCUGUAGCCCUGGGGUCCUCACCUGGGUCCACCACCAGCACCCGGGCCCCCUGAGCUCAGCACAGAGUGUGCCAGGGAGCCCCACGGCUGUGUGGGUUGAUCCAGGCCACUGGGCAGCCCAGCUUGGCCAUUCCUAGGCACAGACUCAGAGCAGAAAUGGCCUUCGAGGUUCCCACCAGGAGACUGACAGUCUCCCCAGCACACAAGGUCUUCCAGCUACCGACUUCAGCCUUCAGGGCCCAUGCUGCCUGGCAGGCCCAGUCCACACCAAGCACACCUGGCCAGGCUGUGCUCGAGCCCUCCGCUCAAAGGCAUCCACAAAAGUGUCUGGAGGCUGGCGGCUCAGGCGUCCCCUGAUGCUCAGGCCCAAGUGGAAGAACUUGGCUAAGAAAGUCACAUCUGUAGGAAGCCAGCGAGUCCUGGGGGUGGUCGUGUGGGAAGCAGAGUCAGAGUGAGGGCCCCAGUCAGCAGGCCCAGGGAGUGAAGCCCCCAGAGGCGGACCCAGGGCUUGGCCAGUGCCACCAGUCCCAGCAGCAGGAAGCACAGGGGGUCUCCAAGGAACCAGCGCAGGGCCACUGCCACAGCAGCUGGCCACACGGGCUGCCCCAGGGACCCCAUCAGGGCAGCAGCAACAGCAGCACGGCCAGCCGCUGCCAGACGCCCAUAGUGCUGUCUCCUCCGAGAGAAGAGGCCGUGAAAUGCGCCGUCUCACCUCUGACCCUGGGCUCCCCCGCCCAAUGGCCUGCCCCACAGAAUGGCUGGUGCACUCUACCCACCAAGGGCCCUGGCACUGACAUCAGCAGUUGCUCCUGACCUCUGGACUCUGCCCUCAGCCC
Long non-coding RNA from Heterocephalus glaber (naked mole-rat), 7366 nucleotides. The record is from Ensembl. NCBI's taxonomy places the organism in Eukaryota, Metazoa, Chordata, Mammalia, Rodentia, Bathyergidae.